UUUUUAAUAGCAUAAAGUUUUUGGCCAAAGCCCAUAAUCCUUUUAGAUCUGAAAUCAUAGCAUGUAAUAUUAGUUUUGUCCCAAACGUUAAACCGGUGACCUUUAAACUUUGCUUAAGAUCUUUUACCAAUUGAGCUAAUAAUACU
This 146-nucleotide small RNA is filed under the name Arabidopsis thaliana (thale cress). RNAcentral's name for it is "ATSL186510". Lineage: Eukaryota; Viridiplantae; Streptophyta; Magnoliopsida; Brassicales; Brassicaceae. The record is from RNAcentral.